GACGAACGCUGGCGGCGUGCCUAAUACAUGCAAGUAGAACGCACAGUUUAUACCGUAGCUUGCUACACCAUAAACUGUGAGUUGCGAACGGGUGAGUAACGCGUAGGUAACCUGCCUGGUAGCGGGGGAUAACUAUUGGAAACGAUAGCUAAUACCGCAUAAUAUUAAUUAUUGCAUGAUAAUUGAUUGAAAGAUGCAAUUGCAUCACUACCAGAUGGACCUGCGUUGUAUUAGCUAGUAGGUGAGGUAACGGCUCACCUAGGCGACGAUACAUAGCCGACCUGAGAGGGUGAUCGGCCACACUGGGACUGAGACACGGCCCAGACUCCUACGGGAGGCAGCAGUAGGGAAUCUUCGGCAAUGGACGAAAGUCUGACCGAGCAACGCCGCGUGAGUGAAGAAGGUUUUCGGAUCGUGAAGCUCUGUUGUAAGAGAAGAACGGGUGUGAGAGUGGAAAGUUCACACUGUGACGGUAUCUUACCAGAAAGGGACGGCUAACUACGUG
This 505-nucleotide ribosomal RNA is filed under the name uncultured bacterium. RNAcentral describes it as "partial 16S ribosomal RNA". It matches the Rfam family "Bacterial small subunit ribosomal RNA", at positions 28 to 507 of the family's 1533-position model. The record is from RNAcentral.